CCUACGGGAGGCAGCAGUGGGGGAUAUUGCACAAUGGGGGAAACCCUGAUGCAGCGACGCCGCGUGUGGGAAGACGGUCUUCUGGAUUGUAAACCACUGUCCCCAGGGACGAAAAUGACGGUACCUGGGGAGGAAGCUCCGGCUAACGACGUGACAGCAGCAGCGGUAAUACGUAGGCAGCAAGCGUUGUCCGGAAUUACUGGGUGUAAAGGGAGCGUAGGCGGGGAUGCAAGUUGGGUGUCAAAACUACCGGCUCAACCGAUAGUCGCACUCAAAACUGACGGUCUUGAGUGAAGUAGAGGCAGGCGGAAGUCCUAGUGUAGCGGUGAAAUGCGUAGAUAUUAGGAGGAACACCAGUGGCGAAGGCGGCCUGCUGGGCUUUUACUGACGCUGAGGCUCGAAAGUGUGCGGAGCAAACAGGAUUAGAUACCCCAGUAGUC
This 440-nucleotide ribosomal RNA is filed under the name uncultured bacterium. RNAcentral's name for it is "partial 16S ribosomal RNA". It matches the Rfam family "Bacterial small subunit ribosomal RNA", at positions 338 to 795 of the family's 1533-position model. The record is from RNAcentral.